UGUCGUGAAGAUCUAUCACAACAAUCAAAUUCAUAUGUAGAUUUUAUUCAGUUGAGAUUAACAGCAGGGCUACGUAUCAGUUGGGAUACGACAUAUUUUCAAGUCUUCACACUUUUUAUGCUCUAAUUCAAUCAAAUCUGUUUAUCUAAAUGUAUGGCCUUAGGUAAAAACGAAUGUUAAUGAAAAUCAUUACUAGAGCAUUUGAGGUUUCAAAUAAUUCAUGAAACAAUCAAUAUUUGAUCGUCUUCUCUAUGCAAUGAAAUGACCUAAAUAAAGUUGUGUUUCUAUCUGAGGCUUGAGAGGCCUGGGGUUAACUAGACCCAGGCUCUGUCAAGUAUAAAUUGGAAGACCAACAGGGCCUAUUUCUCUGAGGCCUAAAGGCUGAUGAUGAACAUGCCAAAAGUCUGAUGUGCUUUGGCACAGUUGAAGACAAAAAGCAUGAGAAGUGAAUACUCAAUGUGUAAACCGUGGUCUUGUAUUGUUUAUUGUGUGAUUUUAUGUCGUCUUGUUAUGUUUAUUAAAUUUUAAUUGUUUCUUAUCUCUCUCUACCCCUUCAUAUCUCUCUCUCUCACUCGAUCUACCGAGCAAUGAUGAUUUACACUUGAUCGGAUAAACUGUCCUAUCAAGACGGUUAAUGAUCGCAGCUACACUUGAUCUGAGCUCACU
Long non-coding RNA from Rhopilema esculentum, 666 nucleotides. RefSeq lists it as uncharacterized. NCBI's taxonomy places the organism in Eukaryota, Metazoa, Cnidaria, Scyphozoa, Rhizostomeae, Rhizostomatidae. The record is from RefSeq and is a predicted model, not a curated record.